UUAUUUAUCCAAUCUCAAAGUUCCUUUGUGUCUAGUCAUGAGAAGUACUUUUCUUUGGUCCAAGUCUUAUUACCUGUGACCAUGUUUUUUCUUUUUUCUGUCUAGUCAUGAGAAGCAGACACGAAUUGGGUUAAUCCUUUUGAGCUGAUUCCCCUUAGUUAUAUGAUAUUUUUAUGCUUAUGACUGCCAUAAACAAAAGACAACGAGUCACUAACUCUUAAAAAUGUUAACAAGUAAUGGCCACGAAAUCCCUGUUGAAUGGCAUGCUACAAUCAUUUAGUGUGAGAUGGAGUGGUUUGCAUCACGUGGUUAACAAAUUGGGUUAUGACCCUAGUCACCGGAGUUCCCGGAACGACGGAUCGAGGAACGACGAACCGGGAACGGGAACGACGUUUAGAUGCAAUUUUUACACUGUGGGAACGAUUUCGUUCCCGCGUUCCCGUCCCGAACACUCGUUCCUGGAACGUGGAACGCUGCAUCGUUCCCGUUCCGCGGUGACUAGGGUUAUGACUCUGUGAGAUGGAGUGGUCCUUGGCAUCAAAUUUACUUUUAAGUUUCUCCCAACAGUUUUUCCCCCUUGUCUUCUUUAUUUAUUUGGAACCAACUAAGGCUGCGUUGGUUGAUAUAGGAGACGCGUAGUGCGGAAGCGACGCCCGGUGCGUUUCCUCCUUCUCUCUUUCUCCUUCCUCUUCCCCCCAUCGAAUAGAUCUCGCCGCCGCCGCCGCCCAGCCGCUCUCUGGCCCCUUCCCUCUCGGUCCCGGCGUCCUCGCCGCACCGGGUAGGGAAAGGGGCCCCACCCUCCCUCCCUCCUGUACAGCCUAUAGGAGUCCCGAUGGGGUCUCCCCUGGUGGUCGCCUUCGCCGUCGUUGUCUCUGCUGCUGCAGUUCCCGCCGCCGACGAGGCUCCUACCAAGAUCUGUGCUCGGUCUCCCCCUCCUCUUCCACCUCGCCUUCCUCGCGCCACCCCCCAGAUCUGUGCUACUCCGACCCGCAUCCACCGUGUCCCGCCUCCGCCUCCUCCUCUACUAUGCAGCCAUCGCAUCCGCCGAUCCAGACAGGUCUUCUUGCGGCGUUGUCGCGUCGACUUCGUCUCCACCGGGAUCCCGACUUGGAGCUCCAUCUUCUUCCCCCAGCGACGGCAACAACCUUAUUCUUCGGUCGCUUGGCGCAUGCUUCAUCACCGGCUUCGUCGCCCCACCCUCAACCGACGCUUGGCGCGGCCUUCCACCUGGGUGUAUGCGUCUUCGGCGCCUCUACGACCCCCCACCGGCGAAUUCGUCGUCGUCAACGCCUUCGUUAUAGCUGUCGUGCUUAUCCGGUCUUUGGACCCAGAUGUAAUUUGGUCUUCCUUGGAGGACCUUUCUGUAAAAUGGCUGCUUAAUAUAUAAUAUAUGCAGUUGUCAAAAAAAAAAGGCUGCGUUCGGUUA
Long non-coding RNA from Sorghum bicolor (sorghum), 1426 nucleotides. RefSeq lists it as uncharacterized. Lineage: Eukaryota; Viridiplantae; Streptophyta; Magnoliopsida; Poales; Poaceae. The transcript is spliced from 2 exons. The record is from RefSeq and is a predicted model, not a curated record.